UACGUAGGGCGCAAGCGUUGUCCGGAAUUAUUGGGCGUAAAGAGCUCGUAGGCGGUUUGUCGCGUCUGGUGUGAAAACUCAAGGCUCAACCUUGAGCUUGCAUCGGGUACGGGCAGACUAGAGUGUGGUAGGGGAGACUGGAAUUCCUGGUGUAGCGGUGGAAUGCGCAGAUAUCAGGAGGAACACCGAUGGCGAAGGCAGGUCUCUGGGCCACUACUGACGCUGAGGAGCGAAAGCAUGGGUAGCGAACAGGAUUAGA
Molecule: ribosomal RNA, 259 nt
Filed under: uncultured prokaryote
Description: partial 16S ribosomal RNA
Rfam family: Bacterial small subunit ribosomal RNA
Source: RNAcentral